RNAcentral lists this ribosomal RNA (466 nucleotides) under uncultured bacterium. RNAcentral's name for it is "partial 16S ribosomal RNA". It matches the Rfam family "Bacterial small subunit ribosomal RNA", at positions 28 to 507 of the family's 1533-position model. The record is from RNAcentral.
GACGAACGCUGGCGGCGCGCCUAACACAUGCCAGUCGAACGAGCGAGAGAGAGCUUGCUUUCUCGAGCGAGUGGCGAACGGGUGAGUAACGCGUGAGGAACCUGCCUCAAAGAGGGGGACAACAGUUGGAAACGACUGCUAAUACCGCAUAAGCCCACGGGUCGGCAUCGACCAGAGGGAAAAGGAGCAAUCCGCUUUGAGAUGGCCUCGCGUCCGAUUAGCUAGUUGGUGAGGUAAUGGCCCACCAAGGCGACGAUCGGUAGCCGGACUGAGAGGUUGAACGGCCACAUUGGGACUGAGACACGGCCCAGACUCCUACGGGAGGCAGCAGUGGGGAAUAUUGCACAAUGGGGGAAACCCUGAUGCAGCGACGCCGCGUGGAGGAAGAAGGUCUUCGGAUUGUAAACUCCUGUUGUUGGGGAAGAUAAUGACGGUACCCAACAAGGAAGUGACGGCUAACUACGUG